AGAGUUUGAUCAUGGCUCAGAUUGAACGCUGGCGGCAGGCCUAACACAUGCAAGUCGAGCGGCAGCACAGAGGAACUUGUUCCUUGGGUGGCGAGCGGCGGACGGGUGAGUAAUGCCUGGGAAAUUGCCCGGUAGAGGGGGGAUAACCAUUGGAAACGAUGGCUAAUACCGCAUAACCUCGCAAGAGCAAAGCAGGGGACCUUCGGGCCUUGC
This 213-nucleotide ribosomal RNA is filed under the name Vibrio cholerae HC-28A1. RNAcentral describes it as "partial 16S ribosomal RNA". It matches the Rfam family "Bacterial small subunit ribosomal RNA", at positions 8 to 216 of the family's 1533-position model. The record is from RNAcentral. Lineage: Bacteria; Pseudomonadati; Pseudomonadota; Gammaproteobacteria; Vibrionales; Vibrionaceae. RNAcentral also lists the same sequence under 1 other name.